This 485-nucleotide ribosomal RNA is filed under the name uncultured bacterium. Its description in RNAcentral is "bacterial SSU rRNA". It matches the Rfam family "Bacterial small subunit ribosomal RNA", at positions 28 to 507 of the family's 1533-position model. The record is from RNAcentral.
GAUGAACGCUAGCGGCAGGCCUAACACAUGCAAGUCAGGGGCAUCAUGGCGUAGCAAUACGCUGAUGGCGACCGGCGCACGGGUGCGUAACGCGUAUGGAACCUACCCACCGCAGGGGGAUAACCCGCCGAAAGGCGGACUAAUACCCCAUGGUUCCCCGACCCUGCCUGGGUUGGGGGUAAAGCCUACGGGCGGCGGUGGAUGGCCCUGCGUGCCAUUAGCUGGCUGGUGGGUAACGGCCCACCAGGGCGACGAUGGCUAGGGGGUCUGAGAGGACGAUCCCCCACACUGGUACUGAGACACGGACCAGACUCCUACGGGAGGCAGCAGUGAGGAAUAUUGGUCAAUGGGCGGAAGCCUGAACCAGCCAUCCCGCGUGCAGGAAGACGGCCCUAUGGGUUGUAAACUGCUUUUCCAGGGGGAGAAACUUUCCGAUGCAUCGGGAUUUGACGGUACCCUGGGAAUAAGCAUCGGCUAACUCCGUG